Molecule: non-coding RNA, 243 nt
Organism: Pelobates cultripes (western spadefoot toad)
Lineage: Eukaryota; Metazoa; Chordata; Amphibia; Anura; Pelobatidae
Source: the annotation of a GenBank genome assembly
CCUCAGAGCAGUCAAUGAUGUUACCGUCUUGGAAACUCCCAUUGUUCCAAAUCCUCAUACUCUUCUAUCCCAGGUCCCUCCUUCAGCUAAAUUCUUCACGGUGGUGGAUUUGGCCAAUGCCUUCUUCAGCGUGCCUUUGCAUCCCUCUUGUCAAUACCUGUUUGCAUUUACCCAUGACCGCCAACAAUAUACCUGGACAGUCAUGCCCCAGGGAGCACAAAAUUCCCCAAGCCAGUUUGCAAG